GUGCUCGCUUUGGCAGCACAUAUACUAAAAUUGGAACAAUACAGAAAAGACUAACAUGGCUCCUGUGCAAGGAUGACACGCAAAUUCGUGAAGCAUUUCAUAUUAAA
Molecule: small nuclear RNA, 107 nt
Organism: Suncus etruscus (white-toothed pygmy shrew)
Lineage: Eukaryota; Metazoa; Chordata; Mammalia; Eulipotyphla; Soricidae
Source: RefSeq, a predicted model, not a curated record